Ricinus communis (castor bean) is the source of this 1078-nucleotide long non-coding RNA. RefSeq lists it as uncharacterized. The transcript is spliced from 3 exons. NCBI's taxonomy places the organism in Eukaryota, Viridiplantae, Streptophyta, Magnoliopsida, Malpighiales, Euphorbiaceae. The record is from RefSeq and is a predicted model, not a curated record.
UGCAGUGGCGAGACGCUUAUGCUUCAAAGUGGACGGUAAAAGAUGCGCUGUUACCUCAAGUAAACUCACUGACGCCAUUCCACUGUAAGUGAACUGCAAAGGCCCAUCGACCAAAGGAAAAAAGAAAAACGAACUGCAAAGGAACUCUUUUCCACCAUUUUCCAGUAGGGUUUUUGGUCGCAGUUGAAUUCAAAGACUACCAUUUAUCAGCUUCUCAUAUCCGUAUAAACAAAAGGAAGUAUGGACAUAGGAUGGUGGUCUACAUGUUGAACUAGGCAGGCACCUUGAAGAAGCACUUGGCAUCUUGUUUUAAAUAUCAAGUUAGCGGCCAUCAAAAGACACGAUUCUCUUCAAGGUACUCAGAAAAGCACACCUCUUACAGAUAUGGUUGGUGUUAUUCUCUAAAGCACAACGGUCUCUUUUUCCCCUUUGUACAAGAGCAUAUAAAGCUCCAAAAUUUAAGUUCAGAUUUACAACUCAACAAAUAAAGCUGAGUGUUGAUGAUGCUGGUGAAGAACGAGAACCAUCAAGGAAAAUUGAAGCCAAUGGUGAAAUCAAUUCAUCAAGCUCAUCAUCACUGGCGUAUGACUUUCUAAGCAAUGAACCAUUUCUUCUUAGCUGAGAUUGAUUUCCAGACUGUCCAAUUGUGUCACCAACUGAAGCUGCUGCAGGUGGCAAAUAAAGUGGAGGCGCAGCAAUGCAUGGUAUGGAUGUGACAGACUCCUCCACGUCAACAGGAUCCUAUAUCAAGAUAACAACCGGAUUACUUGCAAUCUUCGGCAGGUUAUUAAGUAAUUCUUGGACAAAGUACGUUCAGAUGUAGCACAGGCUAAGAUGCGGCAUGAUUUGGAUAGUUUCAAGGUGCCUUGACAGCAGAAGCAACGCGAGGGUGGUUUGGCACUUAAUAAGUGAUGAACAUUCGACAGAUCAAUCAUUGGAACCAACCCAAACUAUCCAUGUAUAAUUUGGACUGGGAUAGGGGUUGACACUUGUAGGCUUAAACUAAGAAUCAUGGAGAUAUGAUGAAAAUAUUGCAUUUCUAAAUUAGGAUAUAAAUGGAUAAUAUCUUAUAAAAUAA